Molecule: ribosomal RNA, 742 nt
Filed under: Stakelama sp. BGMRC02009
Lineage: Bacteria; Pseudomonadati; Pseudomonadota; Alphaproteobacteria; Sphingomonadales; Sphingomonadaceae
Description: bacterial SSU rRNA
Rfam family: Bacterial small subunit ribosomal RNA
Source: RNAcentral
CUUACACAUGCAGUCGAACGAAGUCUUCGGACUUAGUGGCGCACGGGUGCGUAACGCGUGGGAAUCUGCCCUUAGGUACGGAAUAACUCAGAGAAAUUUGAGCUAAUACCGUAUGAUGUCUUCGGACCAAAGAUUUAUCGCCUAAGGAUGAGCCCGCGUUGGAUUAGCUAGUUGGUGGGGUAAAGGCCUACCAAGGCGACGAUCCAUAGCUGGUCUGAGAGGAUGAUCAGCCACACUGGGACUGAGACACGGCCCAGACUCCUACGGGAGGCAGCAGUGGGGAAUAUUGGACAAUGGGGGAAACCCUGAUCCAGCAAUGCCGCGUGAGUGAUGAAGGCCUUAGGGUUGUAAAGCUCUUUUACCCGGGAUGAUAAUGACAGUACCGGGAGAAUAAGCUCCGGCUAACUCCGUGCCAGCAGCCGCGGUAAUACGGAGGGAGCUAGCGUUGUUCGGAAUUACUGGGCGUAAAGCGCGCGUAGGCGGUUUUGCAAGUUAGAGGUGAAAGCCCGGGGCUCAACCCCGGAACUGCCUUUAAAACUGCAUCACUUGAAUCCAGGAGAGGUGAGUGGAAUUCCGAGUGUAGAGGUGAAAUUCGUAGAUAUUCGGAAGAACACCAGUGGCGAAGGCGGCUCACUGGACUGGUAUUGACGCUGAGGUGCGAAAGUGUGGGGAGCAAACAGGAUUAGAUACCCUGGUAGUCCACACCGUAAACGAUGAUAACUAGCUGUCCGGGUGCAUGGCA